Molecule: long non-coding RNA, 675 nt
Organism: Nelumbo nucifera (sacred lotus)
Lineage: Eukaryota; Viridiplantae; Streptophyta; Magnoliopsida; Proteales; Nelumbonaceae
Source: RefSeq, a predicted model, not a curated record
ACAGCCAUUAGAAAAGAGGUGCUAAUUGCUAAGAUUUUCUUCCUCGCGGCUCCCGCCUCUUUCUCUUCUGAUUUUCAUCCUCUUCCCGCCCAUUUCUCUCAUUCUCUCCCAAAGUCGUCUCUUUCUCUCUCUCUUACUCAAGCUUCGCACCACCAGCACGGACGGAACCAGUGGACGACAUCUAACCACCGGAUUGGAUCAAUUCUCACAAACUCAACACUAAUGCUGGAAAAUUAAGACUGAGGAGGAACUACAGAAAUUCAAGAAAGAAUUUGAAGCAUGGAAAGCAGCCAGAGUUUGGGAACAUCCAAAGGUUGUUGAACUUAGCAGAAUUCCUGGGCAAUGGCUUGCUCAAGGGAACCUGAACAAUGGAACAAAAUCUAGUCACUCUGAGCAGAUCCCCCUAAUUGAUUGUGAUUAGAAAUUUGGUAAGACUUAUGAUAACAAAUUGGGUAAGCCUAGAUCUUCUGUACCAACAAGGAUAGUGAUCUUGAAGCCUGGCCCUGACAGGAAUGGGGGUAGUGAAGAUUCUUGGGCUGGUUCAUCAGAAGCUAUUGAAGAGGAAACACUUCAGCAACAGCCAACCCAACCUGAGAAUAGUUUUUCUUUAGAGAGAAUGCCUCCUCAAACUCUGCAGCAAGGUCUGGAAUCCUAAGGUUCCGGCAAUGAAAUGCA